CGGUUGAUCCUGCCGGAGGUUACUGCUAUCGGGGUUCGAUUAAGCCAUGCGAGUCAAAAGGUUUCUUCGGAAACCUUGGCGAACUGCUCAGUAACACGUGGAUAACCUACCCUUGGGACUGGAAUAACCCCGGGAAACUGGGGAUAAUACCGGAUAGAUCAGGGAUGCUGGAAUGCACCUUGAUCCAAAGCUCCGGCGCCCAAGGAUGGGUCUGCGGCCUAUCAGGUUGUAGUGGGUGUAACGUACCUACUAGCCGACGACGGGUACGGGUUGUGAGAGCAAGAGCCCGGAGAUGGAUUCUGAGACACGAAUCCAGGCCCUACGGGGUGCAGCAGGCGCGAAACCUUUACAAUGUGCGAAAGCAUGAUAAGGGAACUCCGAGUGCCAGUAUCUAAUACUGGCUGUCCUUGUGCCUAAACCGCACAAGAUAGCAAGGGCCGGGUAAGACCGGUGCCAGCCGCCGCGGUAACACCGGCGGCCCGAGUGGUAGCCGCUAUUAUUGGGUCUAAAGGGUCCGUAGCCGGUUCGAUAAGUCCUCUGGGAAAUCUGGUUGCUUAACAAUCAGACUGCCAAGGGAUACUGUCGAACUUGAGACCGGGAGAGGUAAGAGGUACUUCAGGGGUAGGAGUGAAAUCUUGUAAUCCCUGGGGGACCAUCUGUGGCGAAGGCGUCUUACCAGAACGGGUCUGACGGUGAGGGACGAAAGCUGGGGGAGCGAACCGGAUUAGAUACCCGGGUAGUCCCGGCCGUAAACGAUGCUCGCUAGGUGUUAGGUACGGCAUGACCGUAUCUGGUGCCGUAGGGAAGCCGUUAAGCGAGCCACCUGGGAAGUACGGUCGCAAGGCUAAAACUUAAAGGAAUUGGCGGGGGAGCAC
RNAcentral lists this ribosomal RNA (875 nucleotides) under uncultured archaeon. RNAcentral's name for it is "bacterial SSU rRNA". It matches the Rfam family "Archaeal small subunit ribosomal RNA", at positions 5 to 879 of the family's 1478-position model. The record is from RNAcentral.